UACGGAGGGGGCGAGCGUUGUUCGGAAUCACUGGGUGUAAAGGGUGCGUAGGCGGUCCGUUAAGUCUGAUGUGAAAUCCCUGGGCUCAACUCAGGAAUGGCAUUGGAAACUGGCAGGCUAGAGUACGGGAGAGGGAAGCGGAAUUCCUGGUGUAGCGGUGAAAUGCGUAGAUAUGGCAUAGAACACCAAUUGCGAAGGCAGCUUACUUCACGAUCAUUGACACUGAGGCACGAAAGCGUGGGGAGCAAACAGG
RNAcentral lists this ribosomal RNA (253 nucleotides) under uncultured bacterium. RNAcentral describes it as "partial 16S ribosomal RNA". It matches the Rfam family "Bacterial small subunit ribosomal RNA", at positions 524 to 776 of the family's 1533-position model. The record is from RNAcentral.